Molecule: ribosomal RNA, 504 nt
Filed under: uncultured soil bacterium
Lineage: Bacteria
Description: bacterial SSU rRNA
Rfam family: Bacterial small subunit ribosomal RNA
Source: RNAcentral
AGGACGAACGCUGGCGGCGUGCUUAACACAUGCAAGUCGAACGAGGCCGGUCCUUUCGGGGACCGAGUCGAGUGGCGGACGGGUGCGUAACACGUGAGUGACCUGACCUUGUGUGGGGGGCAACCCGGGGAAACUCGGGCUAAUACCGCAUAGGCGCAGUGCCUUUCGGGGUGCAGCGUGAAAGCCGGCCUAUCCAUGGAAGCUGGCGCGCAGGGAGGGGCUCGCGGCGUAUCAGCUAGUUGGUGAGGUAACGGCUCACCAAGGCGACGACGCGUAGCGGGUCUGAGAGGACGACCCGCCACAUUGGAACUGAGACACGGUCCAGACUCCUACGGGAGGCAGCAGUGGGAAUAUUGGGCAAUGGCCGCAAGGCUGACCCAGCGACGCCGCGUGCGGGAUGACGCUUUUCGGAGUGUAAACCGCUGUCAGAGGGAAGAAGACCGUUCGAGGUGAAUAAUCUCGAGGCUGACGGUACCUUCAGAGGAAGCACCGGCUAACGCCGUG